Molecule: long non-coding RNA, 2311 nt
Organism: Oncorhynchus tshawytscha (Chinook salmon)
Lineage: Eukaryota; Metazoa; Chordata; Actinopteri; Salmoniformes; Salmonidae
Exons: 2
Source: RefSeq, a predicted model, not a curated record
CCUCCCCUUGUCCCCCUUUCUCUGUUGUAGCUGGGUUUCAGCGCCACCUGCUGGAUCUUCUAAUGCGGUUCCACUACACCCUGAGGAACCAACAGCGGCAGGAGUGUUCUCAUGUUCCUCCUCUCCAGGAAACAUUAGGCCACACACACACUCAUUACUAUGCUCUGACUUUGCUUCGUUCUUCCUGCUUUCAAUAUAUUUAAGUACAUCCAAACUAGUGAAGAAAGACAGUGAAAUUAGUUUAAAUUGUAAAGGACUUUCUGAGACAGUAGUAGUUUGCUCCCUAAAUGCUUAUGUGGUUGAAAAUGCUGUGUCCUGAUUGGCAGAUUGUCUGGGUGUGAUCUGUCACAAUGUGAUUGAUUGACUGCAGGAGAAGCUGGCUAUCGUGCUGAAGGUCCACAUCUACUCUAAGAGGCCCACGCCUGAGAAACACCUGCUGUACCCUAACAUUUGGUGUGUCUGACGGAUAUGAGGACUGUGAAUGAGGAGUAUACCAAACAGGUCCUGCAGAUUCUGGACAUCCAGCCAGACAACUCAUUUGACCCAAUCAUCCUGCAGGUGGUCAGCAAGGACCCCUGAGUCAGCCGCACACAGACAGGCAUCAGCAGGGAUGCCUAAAUCACUUUGACAGCUAGCUAAAUGCUCUAUCCUCAGACUGAUAUAGGAUGGAUGCCCAAAUAAAUGUAACAGGGAACAACAGAGACAUCUAACCAAGGAUCCAAAGAUCUGUAAAACUGCCUAUGUGGCAAGAAUUAAGCUUUUAUUUAAUUCAAAUAUAUGACUGUUUGUGAAAAAAAGAGAAAAAAAAAAAAAAGAGCUAUGCGUUUCAUAUUCAUUGUGUGCACGCUUUUAUGUUUUUUCAAUUUUUAUACUAGCCAUAAUUCAAUUACUGGUAUGCAUUUUGCCAAUUCAAAACAAUUGUCAAAGACUCGUUGUUGUUUUUAAAGCACUAAUCCAAAAUCCUUUUAUACAGGAAUGCACAAAGGACAUUGUUCAGUACAUGAUGUGUAUUCAAAGGGAUUUAUCUGUGCCCUGUUCCUACAGAAUUUAAGGAGUGAUUUUGUUUACUGUGUGAAAAACACUAAUUGGCUGCUGUAAUCUCGUUCCUUAAAUCUGGUCAAGUGCCUCCAGAAAGAUGAGAUCCGCGAUAGGCGAAACAUCGCCACUGGCCACCCCAGUGGCACUAGUGUUUUUGCUUUGAAGAAAUGAGCAUCCAGCAUCAUAGUAAAAAAUAUAUAUUACAUGGAAAAAACAUUGUUGUUUGAAGUAACGUAUUUGUUGUUGUAAUAUUGCGAAAUGGACGUGGCAGUUUCACCACUAUGGAUUCCAGCGUUAAAUGUGAGAUAAAAUCAUCAGUCUAGUCCAGGGGUAGGCAACGCUGGUCCCGGAGUGCUGCAUACACUUCAUGUUUUUCAUUUAACCAACGUGGAAGACCAGGUGUGUUGAAUUUAGUCAAUCAUUGAACUGAUCAAUUAGCUCAGUUGGUCUGGUGUGGUACGUAGACAAAGUCCUGCAGUACCUGCGGCAUCCCAGGAACAGGGUUGUCUACCCCUGAUCUAUUCCAUAUCAAUUGACCCUCAUUGCAGAACUGUGUGUGUGAAAAUAACAAUUAGAAUCAAAGUGUGAUAGAAAAUCUUAUGUGAUGAAGAAUGUUACAAAUGUAGGUACAUGUAUUCUGUGAAGGUUGGGUUGUGUUUUCUUGACAAGAACAGUACAGGUACAUGUAUUCUGUGAAGGUUGGGUUGUGUUUUCUUGACAAGAACAGUACAUGGACAUGUGUUUGGCUUUGUGAGUGUUGGGUCAACGUUGUUUUCUGUCAUAAAUGUUUAUCUUUCUGUGUGGUGUAACACUAGCAGACACAGGGCUGCAGUCACACUAAUGGCCAGCACUUGCCAACUUGGACCUCUGCCUUGUGACCAGCACUGCCUACCAAUAACCUCUGGUCUACAGUUCCUCAGGCUGUCCUUCUAUUCGGGUAUAGUAACACAGAUUUUACUCUGUCUGAAAUGUACUGAUUGUGACAAUUUUUCAAUGAAAGUCAUCCGUUAGUAGAUGAUGGACAACCCAGAUGAGUAUCUGUCAAAAAACACACAAGAUGUCUGGAAAACAGUUGAGACGAGUAGAACUUUUGACCGACAAAAAUGCAUUUGCGUUUGAAUGUCUGUGUGGCCUUAGCCUUACGCUCUUUUGUUGGAAAGCUGUUAUAUGUAAAUCAAAUGUGACCAAAAAUGAAUUUUAUAUUUAAAUUGUCAUAUCAACCUGAAAUGCUCUAUUGUAUCUAACCCUCAAAUAAAGAGCAAGUUUGACUAUC